This 165-nucleotide unclassified non-coding RNA is filed under the name Umbelopsis isabellina. The record is from RNAcentral. Lineage: Eukaryota; Fungi; Mucoromycota; Umbelopsidomycetes; Umbelopsidales; Umbelopsidaceae.
CCAAAAGAUAAUCUUUCAAAUCGAAAGAUCUUUUCCUUUGUGCUGGCUUUGACCGUAUGUAAUUUUGGGACUUAAACAUGGUAGCAAUUUUUUGUUACCGGUCCCAAAAACAAUUAUAUCAUCCUUAUAAAAACUUACUGAACAACUAAACAAUGAUUUUAAUAA